UUGGGUCCGGCAUAACCCCGGGAAACUGGGGAUAAUUCCGGAUAACGCACAUAUGCUGGAAUGCUUUAUGCGUAAAAUGGAUUCGUCUGCCCAAGGAUGGGUCUGCGGCCUAUCAGGUAGUAGUGGGUGUAAUGUACCUACUAGCCUACAACGGGUACGGGUUGUGAGAGCAAGAGCCCGAAGAUGGAUUCUGAGACAUGAAUCCAGGCCCUACGGGGCGCAGCAGGCGCGAAAACUUUACAAUGCGGGAAACCGUGAUAAGGGGACACCGAGUGCUAGCAUCAUAUGCUGGCUGUCCAGGUGUGUAAAAUACACUUGUUAGCAAGGGCCGGGCGAGACCGGUGCCAGCCGCCGCGGUAACACCGGCGGCCCGAGUGGUGAUCGUGAUUAUUGGGUCUAAAGGGUCCGUAGCCGGUUUGGUCAGUCCUCCGGGAAAUCUGAUAGCUCAACUAUUAGGCUUUCGGGGGAUACUGCCAGACUUGGAACCGGGAGAGGUAAGAGGUACUACAGGGGUAGGAGUGAAAUCUUGUAAUCCCUGUGGGACCACCUGUGGCGAAGGCGUCUUACCAGAACGGGUUCGACGGUGAGGGACGAAAGCUGGGGGCACGAACCGGAUUAGAUACCCGGGUAGUCCCAGCCGUAAACGAUGCUCGCUAGGUGUCAGGCAUGGCGCGACCGUGUCUGGUGCCGCAGGGAAGCCGUGAAGCGAGCCACCUGGGAAGUACGGCCGCAAGGC
This 736-nucleotide ribosomal RNA is filed under the name uncultured Methanosarcinaceae archaeon. RNAcentral describes it as "SSU rRNA". It matches the Rfam family "Archaeal small subunit ribosomal RNA", at positions 115 to 849 of the family's 1478-position model. Lineage: Archaea; Methanobacteriati; Methanobacteriota; Methanomicrobia; Methanosarcinales; Methanosarcinaceae. The record is from RNAcentral.